UGAGUACGAGCUGCUACGGCAGCGAAGUGGGUGACGUCAAGCUUCCAAGAAAAGCCCUAUACCCGUUAAGGCAUGAUGGCCUGUACCCGAAACCGACACAGGUGGGGUGGUAGAGAAUACCGAGGGGCGCGAGGUAACUCUCUCCAAGGAACUCGGCAAAAUGGCCCCGUAACUUCGGGAGAAGGGGUGCCACCGCAAGGUGGUCGCAGUGAAGAGGCCCAGGCGACUGUUUACCAAAAACACAGGUCUCCGCUAAGUCGCAAGACGAUGUAUGGGGGCUGACGCCUGCCCAGUGCCGGAAGGUUAAGGAAGUUGGUCAGCGAAAGCGAAGCUAGCGACUGAAGCCCCGGUGAACGGCGGCCGUAACUAUAACGGUCCUAAGGUAGCGAAAUUCCUUGUCGGGUAAGUUCCGACCCGCACGAAAGGCGUAACGAUCUGGGCGCUGUCUCGGAGAGAGGCUCGGCGAAAUAGAAUUGUCUGUGAAGAUGCGGACUACGUGCACCCGGACAGAAAGACCCUAUGAAGCUUUACUGUAGCUUGGUAUUGUGCCCGGGCCCUGAAUGCGCAGGAUAGGUGGGAGGCUUUGAUCCAUGGCUUGCGGGUCAUGGAGAGCCAACGGUGAGAUACCACUCUUUCAGAGCUAGGGUUCUAACGGUCACCCGUUAUCCGGGGACCGGACAGUAUCUGGUGGGCAGUUUGACUGGGGCGGUCGCCUCCUAAAAGGUAACGGAGGCGCGCAAAGGUUUGCUCAGGCUGGUUGGAAAUCAGCCGACGAGUGUAAAAGCAGAAGCAAGCUUGACUGUGAGACCAACAAGUCGAACAGGGACGAAAGUCGGCUUUAGUGGUCCGUCGGUUCUGAGUGGAAGGGCCGUCGCUCAACGGAUAAAAGUUACUCUAGGAUAACAGGCUGAUCUCCCCCAAGAGUUCACAUCGACGGGGAGGUUUGGCACCUCGAUGUCGGCUCAUCGCAACCUGGGGCUGAAGUCGGUCCCAAGGGUUGGGCUGUUCGCCCAUUUAAGCGGUACGCGAGCUGGGUUCAGAACGUCGUGAGACAGUUCGGUCCAUAUCCGGUGCAUGCGCAGGAAUAUUGAGAGGAGUUCUCCCUAGUACGAGAGGACCGGGAGGAACGCACCUCUGGUGUACCAGUUAUCGUGCCAACGGUAAACGCUGGGUAGCCAUGUGCGGAGAGGAUAACCGCUGAAAGCAUCUAAGUGGGAAGCCCACCUCAAGAUGAGUAUUCCCAUGGCAUAAGCCAGUAAGGUCACGGGAAGAACACCCGUUGAUAGGCUCUACGUGGAAGCGCAGUAAUGCGUGAAGCGGAGGAGUACUAAUAGACC
This 1337-nucleotide ribosomal RNA is filed under the name metagenome. Its description in RNAcentral is "bacterial LSU rRNA". It matches the Rfam family "Bacterial large subunit ribosomal RNA", at positions 1564 to 2910 of the family's 2925-position model. The record is from RNAcentral.